This 535-nucleotide ribosomal RNA is filed under the name uncultured organism. Its description in RNAcentral is "bacterial SSU rRNA". It matches the Rfam family "Bacterial small subunit ribosomal RNA", at positions 9 to 590 of the family's 1533-position model. The record is from RNAcentral.
GAGUUUGAUCCUGGCUCAGAACGAACGCUGGCGGCAGGCCUAACACAUGCAAGUCGAGCGAGGGAGCAAUCUCUAGCGGCGGACGGGUGAGUAACGCGUGGGAACGUGCCCCUUGGUACGGAAUAGCCCCGGGAAACUGGGAGUAAUACCGUAUGAGCUCUACGGAGGAAAGAUUUAUCGCCAAGGGAUCGGCCCGCGUUGGAUUAGGUAGUUGGUGGGGUAAUGGCCUACCAAGCCGACGAUCCAUAGCUGGUUUGAGAGGAUGAUCAGCCACACUGGGACUGAGACACGGCCCAGACUCCUACGGGAGGCAGCAGUGGGGAAUCUUAGACAAUGGGGGAAACCCUGAUCUAGCCAUGCCGCGUGAUCGAUGAAGGCCUUAGGGUUGUAAAGAUCUUUCAGUGGGGAAGAUAAUGACUGUACCCACAGAAGAAGCCCCGGCUAACUCCGUGCCAGCAGCCGCGGUAAUACGGAGGGGGCUAGCGUUGUUCGGAAUUACUGGGCGUAAAGCGCACGUACGCGGAUCAGAAAGUCA